RNAcentral lists this ribosomal RNA (41 nucleotides) under Cordyceps fumosorosea. RNAcentral's name for it is "partial 28S ribosomal RNA". The record is from RNAcentral. Lineage: Eukaryota; Fungi; Ascomycota; Sordariomycetes; Hypocreales; Cordycipitaceae.
GUUGACCUCGGAUCAGGUAGGACUACCCGCUGAACAUAAGC